AACGAACGCUGGCGGCAGGCCUAACACAUGCAAGUCGAGCGAGGACUUCGGUUCUAGCGGCGGACGGGUUAGUAACGCGUGGGAAUGUUCCCUUCUCUACGGAAUAGCCCUGGGAAACUGGGAGUAAUACCGUAUACGCCCUAUUGGGGAAAGAUUUAUCGGAGAAGGAUCAGCCCGCGUUGGAUUAGGUAGUUGGUGGGGUAAUGGCCUACCAAGCCGACGAUCCAUAGCUGGUUUGAGAGGAUGAUCAGCCACACUGGGACUGAGACACGGCCCAGACUCCUACGGGAGGCAGCAGUGGGGAAUCUUAGACAAUGGGGGCAACCCUGAUCUAGCCAUGCCGCGUGAGUGAUGAAGGCCUUAGGGUUGUAAAGCUCUUUCAGCUGGGAAGAUAAUGACGGUACCAGCAGAAGAAGCCCCGGCUAACUCCGUG
RNAcentral lists this ribosomal RNA (433 nucleotides) under uncultured bacterium. RNAcentral's name for it is "partial 16S ribosomal RNA". It matches the Rfam family "Bacterial small subunit ribosomal RNA", at positions 29 to 507 of the family's 1533-position model. The record is from RNAcentral.